This 996-nucleotide ribosomal RNA is filed under the name Prevotella nigrescens. RNAcentral's name for it is "bacterial SSU rRNA". It matches the Rfam family "Bacterial small subunit ribosomal RNA", at positions 28 to 1012 of the family's 1533-position model. Lineage: Bacteria; Pseudomonadati; Bacteroidota; Bacteroidia; Bacteroidales; Prevotellaceae. The record is from RNAcentral.
GAUGAACGCUGGCUACAGGCUUAACACAUGCAAGUCGUGGGGAAACGGCAUUAUGUGCUUGCACAUUCUGGACGUCGACCGGCGCACGGGUGAGUAUCGCGUAUCCAACCUGCCCCUUACUUGGGGAUACCCCGUUGAAAGACGGCCUAAUACCCGAUGUGUUUCAUUGACGGCAUCCGAUAUGAAACAAAGGUUUUUUCCGGUAAGGGAUGGGGAUGCGUCUGAUUAGCUUGUUGGCGGGGCAACGGCCCACCAAGGCGACGAUCAGUAGGGGUUCUGAGAGGAAGGUCCCCCACAUUGGAACUGACACACGGUCCAAACUCCUACGGGAGGCAGCAGUGAGGAAUAUUGGUCAAUGGACGCAAGUCUGAACCAGCCAAGUAGCGUGCAGGAUGACGGCCCUAUGGGUUGUAAACUGCUUUUAUGUGGGAAUAAAGUGGCGCACGUGUGCGCCAUUGCAUGUACCUCAUGAAUAAGGACCGGCUAAUUCCGUGCCAGCAGCCGCGGUAAUACGGAAGGUCCGGGCGUUAUCCGGAUUUAUUGGGUUUAAAGGGAGUGUAGGCGGUCUGUUAAGCGUGUUGUGAAAUUUAGGUGCUCAACAUUUAACUUGCAGCGCGAACUGUCAGACUUGAGUACACGCAGCGCAGGCGGAAUUCAUGGUGUAGCGGUGAAAUGCUUAGAUAUCAUGAGGAACUCCGAUCGCGAAGGCAGCCUGCGGGAGUGUUACUGACGCUUAAGCUCGAAGGUGCGGGUAUCGAACAGGAUUAGAUACCCUGGUAGUCCGCACAGUAAACGAUGGAUGCCCGCCGUUGGCGCCCUGCGCCUGCGGCCAAGCGAAAGCAUUAAGCAUCCCACCUGGGGAGUACGCCGGCAACGGUGAAACUCAAAGGAAUUGACGGGGGCACGCACAAGCGGAGGAACAUGUGGUUUAAUUCGAUGAUACGCGAGGAACCUUACCCGGGCUUGAAUUGCAGUCGCUGCCCACAGAGACGUGGG